AUUGAACGCUGGCGGCAGGCCUAACACAUGCAAGUCGAGCGGAUGAAGGGAGCUUGCUCCUGGAUUCAGCGGCGGACGGGUGAGUAAUGCCUAGGAAUCUGCCUGGUAGUGGGGGAUAACGUCUGGAAACGGGCGCUAAUACCGCAUACGUCCUGAGGGAGAAAGUGGGGGAUCUUCGGACCUCACGCUAUCAGAUGAGCCUAGGUCGGAUUAGCUAGUUGGAGGGGUAAAGGCCUACCAAGGCGACGAUCCGUAACUGGUCUGAGAGGAUGAUCAGUCACACUGGAACUGAGACACGGUCCAGACUCCUACGGGAGGCAGCAGUGGGGAAUAUUGGACAAUGGGCGAAAGCCUGAUCCAGCCAUGCCGCGUGUGUGAAGAAGGUCUUCGGAUUGUAAAGCACUUUAAGUUGGGAGGAAGGGCAGUAAGUUAAUACCUUGCUGUUUUGACGUUACCAACAGAAUAAGCACCGGCUAACUUCGUG
This 484-nucleotide ribosomal RNA is filed under the name uncultured bacterium. RNAcentral's name for it is "partial 16S ribosomal RNA". It matches the Rfam family "Bacterial small subunit ribosomal RNA", at positions 30 to 507 of the family's 1533-position model. The record is from RNAcentral.